Long non-coding RNA from Lytechinus pictus (painted urchin), 2260 nucleotides. RefSeq lists it as uncharacterized. The transcript has 2 exons. The record is from RefSeq and is a predicted model, not a curated record. Lineage: Eukaryota; Metazoa; Echinodermata; Echinoidea; Temnopleuroida; Toxopneustidae.
UUUUCAGGGUUGAUCGCAGCUGGACAAAUUCUACCCGCUCUUUCAUCGCCUGUCUUCGCCUUUCUUCUUGGACACCGCACCAAAAGGAAUGUGACUUGAGCGAAGGACAACGCUCACACGUAGAUUUUUCUUGUCGUUAUUGUCCGAGACAAAUACAAACAAGUUUCUAGGAUGAAGGCGGCCAAAGCUCAAAGCAUCCUCCCUCGUCCUGGUUGCCGACACUUUGCGGAAAGUGUGUCCGACACCUGCCAUUGUUGGCGUUUGUUGUCACGUUGUGCCUGUCCAAAGCCCCGCCUCCCGUGUCCUUUCACUUAUAAAGACUGUCUGUAAAUGCCAUCCUUGAUGAACGGCCAGGAUUCCAGCCUCAACACCAAGAGCAAGUCCAGGUGGUGAUGAUGACGCCGAUACAUCUCCAAGCAUCCCGUAAAUAUGCUUAGUGGAAGUGGAUUUCCCAAUCAAUUGUUGGGCAUUUCAUACAAAAUUCAAAACAGAACAAGGAGCCAGAUAUCAGAGGGUUACAUGUACACUAAAAAUAUUUGGUGUUAAAAUGACACCACCAGUAUAUAUAAAGGACCACAUCAAGCACUUAACACCAGUGUAAAAUUCAUGGUGCAUUCUAAAAAUCCAUUACUACUAAGUUACUAUCACAUGUUCUGUAUUUUAUUUCAACACCGAUUGCUGUUAUGUUCAACACCCAUCUGUUAUGUUCAACACCCAUUGGAGUUACUUACUAUCACACAUUCUGUUUGUUAUUUAUAACACUGUUUGGUGGUUAGUUAAAAACCCACAGAAGUUACUAUCACAUCAUUUGUUUGUUAUUUUAGCACUGUUUGGUGUAGUGUUACUUUGUUAUUUUAACACUGUUUGGUGUAGCAUUCUUUUGUUAUUUUAACACUGUUUGGUGUAGUGUUUCUUUGUUAUUUUAACACUGUUUGGUGUAGUUUUCCUUUGUUAUUUUAACACUGUUUGGUUUAGUGUUCCUUUGUUAUUUUAACACUGUUUGGUGUAGUAUUCUUUUUUUAUUUUAACACUGUUUGGUGUAGUGUUCCUUUUAUUUUAACACUGUUUGGUGUAGUGUUCCUUUGUUGUUUUAACACUGUUUGGUAUAGUGUUCCUUUGUUAUUUUAACACUGUUUGGUGUAGUGUUCCUUUGAUUUUAACACUGUUUGGUGUAGUGUUCCUUUGUUAUUUUAACACUGUUUGGUGUAGUGUUCACACUCCAUGGUGUAUUUUUAAUUGAGAGAUGAAUGUUUGUACCAAUAGUUUGGUAAAAUACAUAAACUUAAAAAAAAAUACGUAAAAAUCUAAUAUGUAAUCACGACCCUCAUGACAAAGUGUGACAUCAAAUAAUUCAGGCCAUUUAAGAAAGCUCAAUAAAGACUAUUGUCAAAGGUCAUUAGUUUUGAAACAAAAAUACUCAGCUGGCAAGCGAUGAAUAUUCAUAAAAUUUUAAUGUACAUUAUUGUGCUAUGUAGCUAAAGAGUUUUUUUGGUUAUUUUUUGGGGUUGUCAAUUUCUUUUUUAGCUCUGGUGUGGGUCUUUAAGCACAUGUUUUUUUCACUUUUGUUGCAUAAAAAAGAAUAAAAUUUUGUUGUUGCCAUUUGUGACAUUCAAGGCCUGGUCCCAUUUGCCGACGGACACAAAACAUAUUCAUCACUGAUACAGCGGACAAGCAAAAUUUUAGGUUGGCUCCAUCCGUUUUCAUCCGCUCCAGACAAUGGACAAAAUGGGCAAACAAUGAAAUCACAGUGGACGGAUGCUCGAUGGAUAUAGAGCGUAUGAAACACGUAUGCAAAGAGUCCACAACGGAUACGUAACGUUUUCCAACGGAUGGCAAGAUUCUUUUCCGUCUAUCAUCCUCUCUGCAUCCGUAAGUGCAAUGGGACCAAGCCUUUACACCCUUGCAAAACCUUUGCAAAUCAUUUGUUAGUCCCAUGAAAAAAAAACACUUUUGAUAAAAAAAGGAGGAGAGAAUGUUUGUUUCUCUUUUAUCUUGUAUGGUAUUUCACUUUUAGCUCUGGUAUGGGUCUUCAAGCGCAUGUUUUGUGCACUUUUGUUGCAUUAAAAAAAAGAAAAUUUGGGCGUUACCAUUUUUGACAUUUAGAUCCUCGCAAAACCUUUGCAAUUUUGUGAGUCCAAGGAAAAGGACACUUAAUAAAAAAAAAGAAAAAAGGGAAAGAAAGUUUUUUUUUUGUUAUCUUGUAUGGUAGUUUGGGAUAUGAUUACUUCAUGCAACUUGAAUAAAUAUGCUUGUAAUUUUU